RNAcentral lists this ribosomal RNA (475 nucleotides) under uncultured Desulfobulbus sp. RNAcentral's name for it is "bacterial SSU rRNA". It matches the Rfam family "Bacterial small subunit ribosomal RNA", at positions 917 to 1381 of the family's 1533-position model. Lineage: Bacteria; Pseudomonadati; Thermodesulfobacteriota; Desulfobulbia; Desulfobulbales; Desulfobulbaceae. The record is from RNAcentral.
GACGGGGCCGCACAAGCGGUGGAGUAUGUGGUUUAAUUCGAUGCAACGCGAAGAACCUUACCUGGUCUUGACAUCCCGGAGACCCUUAGGAAACUAGGGGGUGCCUUCCAUCUGGAAGAAUCUGGAGACAGGUGCUGCAUGGCUGUCGUCAGCUCGUGUCGUGAGAUGUUGGGUUAAGUCCCGCAACGAGCGCAACCCUUGCCUUUAGUUGCCAGCAGUUCGGCUGGGCACUCUAAAGGGACUGCCGGUGUUAAACCGGAGGAAGGUGGGGAUGACGUCAAGUCCUCAUGGCCUUUAUGACCAGGGCUACACACGUACUACAAUGGCCGAUACAAAGGGCAGCGACACUGCGAGGUGAAGCCAAUCCCGUAAAAUCGGUCUCAGUCCGGAUUGGAGUCUGCAACUCGACUCCAUGAAGUUGGAAUCGCUAGUAAUCGUGGAUCAGCAUGCCACGGUGAAUACGUUCCCGGGCCUU